GCCAGGCACGGUGGUGCAUGCCUAUAGUCCCAGCUACUCGGGAGGCUGAGGCUGGAGGAUAUCUUGAGUCCAGGAGUUCUGGGCUGUAGUGCGCUAUAAUGAUUUGGUGUCCACACUAAGUUCAGCAUCAAUAUGGUGACCUCCUGGGAGUGGGGGACCGCCAGGUUGCCUAAGGAGGGGUGAGCUGGCCCAGGUCGGAAACAGAGCAGGUCAAAAUUCCUGUGUCGAUCCGUAGUGGGAUCGUACCUGUGAAUAGCUACUGCCCUCCAGCCUGGGCAACAUAGCAAGACCCCCAUCUCU
Molecule: signal recognition particle RNA, 300 nt
Filed under: Aotus nancymaae (Ma's night monkey)
Lineage: Eukaryota; Metazoa; Chordata; Mammalia; Primates; Aotidae
Description: Metazoan signal recognition particle RNA (ENSANAG00000007304.1)
Rfam family: Metazoan signal recognition particle RNA
About the family: The signal recognition particle (SRP) is a universally conserved ribonucleoprotein. It is involved in the co-translational targeting of proteins to membranes.
Source: Rfam by way of RNAcentral